CCUACGGGAGGCAGCAGUAGGGAAUCUUCCACAAUGGGCGAAAGCCUGAUGGAGCAACGCCGCGUGGGUGAAGAAGGUCUUCGGAUCGUAAAACCCUGUUGUUAGAGAAGAACGUGCGUGAGAGUAACUGUUCACGUUUCGACGGUAUCUGACCAGGAAGCCACGGCUAACUACGUGCCAGCAGCCGCGGUAAUACGUAGGUGGCAAGCGUUAUCCGGAUUUAUUGGGCGUAAAGGGAACGCAGGCGGUCUGUUAAGUCUGAUGUGAAAGCCUUGGGCUUAACGGGGGUAGUGCCUUGGAAACUGGGAGACGUGAGUGCGGGAGAGGAUAGUGGAACUCCAUGUGUAGCGGUGAAAUGCGUAGAUAUAUGGAAGAACACCAGUGGCGAAAGCGGCUCUCUGGUCUGUAACUGACGCUGAGGUUCGAAAGCGUGGGUAGCAAACAGGAUUAGAUACCCCAGUAGUC
This 465-nucleotide ribosomal RNA is filed under the name uncultured bacterium. RNAcentral describes it as "partial 16S ribosomal RNA". It matches the Rfam family "Bacterial small subunit ribosomal RNA", at positions 338 to 795 of the family's 1533-position model. The record is from RNAcentral.